RNAcentral lists this ribosomal RNA (379 nucleotides) under uncultured bacterium. RNAcentral's name for it is "bacterial SSU rRNA". It matches the Rfam family "Bacterial small subunit ribosomal RNA", at positions 521 to 896 of the family's 1533-position model. The record is from RNAcentral.
UAAGACGUAGGGGGCGAGCGUUGUCCGGAUUUACUGGGCGUAAAGCGCGCGCAGGCGGCCCGUUAAGUCGGAUGUGAAAACCUGGGGCUCAACCCCAGGCCUGCACCCGAUACUGGCGGGCUCGAGGCAGGUAGGGGAGAGUGGAAUUCCCGGUGUAGCGGUGAAAUGCGCAGAUAUCGGGAGGAACACCGGUGGCGAAGGCGGCUCUCUGGGCCUGUCCUGACGCUCAUGCGCGAAAGCUAGGGGAGCAAACAGGAUUAGAUACCCUGGUAGUCCUAGCCGUAAACGUUGGGUGCUAGGUGUGGGGCGGGGAUCGACCCGUUCUGUGCCGAAGCUAACGCAUUAAGCACCCCGCCUGGGGAGUACGGCCGCAAGGCUA